This 73-nucleotide transfer RNA is filed under the name Bos taurus (domestic cattle). It matches the Rfam family "tRNA". Rfam says of the family: Transfer RNA (tRNA) molecules are approximately 80 nucleotides in length. Their secondary structure includes four short double-helical elements and three loops (D, anti-codon, and T loops). The record is from Rfam by way of RNAcentral. RNAcentral also lists the same sequence under 4 other names. Lineage: Eukaryota; Metazoa; Chordata; Mammalia; Artiodactyla; Bovidae.
UCCCUGGUGGUUCAGUGGUGAGGACUCCACACUCUCGUUGCCAAAGGUCUAGGUUCAAUCCCUGGUGAGGGAA